Liolophura sinensis is the source of this 246-nucleotide long non-coding RNA. RefSeq lists it as uncharacterized. The record is from RefSeq and is a predicted model, not a curated record. NCBI's taxonomy places the organism in Eukaryota, Metazoa, Mollusca, Polyplacophora, Chitonida, Chitonidae. The transcript has 3 exons.
GGUUGUAGAUAGCACCAGGUGGCUAUUUCAACUCCUUUGUUUGGCGGAACCAGCCAAGUUCAUCAUGGUGGGAGGAAACUGGGCAGGGACUGAACGGAGCCAAGCAUGUGCUGGACUUGAACUCACAGCGACGCUAACAACCUCGGCCCCUGGUGUUUUGAGAUAACCUCUUCUCCGCACAUCCUCAAUCACCUGAUGGAUCAGUGAAAAGCAGUUCCAAGAAAACAUACAAGUUUCUCUGCCAAG